CAACAAGUAACAGUGCCGCCAGAAGAAGUUACGGCAACCGAUAAGGCUCAUUUGGAGCCUUUCAGAAGUGGCGUUUAGUUAACAGUUAUUGCUUUGAUGGAGGGCCAUAACAGGAUUGCUGUGGAGGAGUAAUAAACUGUCCCGGAGGUCCAUUACCUUAAUGAAAACACUGU
This is a long non-coding RNA of Archocentrus centrarchus (flier cichlid), 173 nucleotides long. RefSeq lists it as uncharacterized. The transcript has 2 exons. The record is from RefSeq and is a predicted model, not a curated record. NCBI's taxonomy places the organism in Eukaryota, Metazoa, Chordata, Actinopteri, Cichliformes, Cichlidae.